Long non-coding RNA from Dreissena polymorpha, 551 nucleotides. RefSeq lists it as uncharacterized. The transcript is spliced from 3 exons. NCBI's taxonomy places the organism in Eukaryota, Metazoa, Mollusca, Bivalvia, Myida, Dreissenidae. The record is from RefSeq and is a predicted model, not a curated record.
CUGACUUUGAGCUUUAAGGUAUAAUUGAGUAACAUUAAGACUUAUAAUUCUAGUUUAAAAUGUCUUGAAUAACUUUCAGCAUGAAGUAUUGUGUGGUGAAAACAAUGUUUAUGUACUACAAUGUGUAAAUCAACAAUAAGUUUGUUGCAAAGGAGAUUCAAAGUGGAUGGUUAAAGUGAUAUGGUCUCAUAAUUCAUCAACUGCCUGUUAUCUUGGAAUACUGAAGAACAGUUGUUUUAGGUUAAACUCCCAAGGUGAAAUUUACAUUGAUUGGAAGAUUCUUUGGAUAGAAUAUUCAUGCCAAAAGACAGCAGAAGGGGGACUAACUGAUGUAUGGAUUUUGACACCAGAUUUUACCCUGCACGAGCAGCCCAACUUGAGUAGAUCAGGAGUGGGAAAACCAAGCCCUGUCCUUGACCAAGGAAAGUUGGAUUUGUUGAGAGGACCUGAUCUCAAAUGAGAUCAUGCACAAGACGCACCUCACAAAGGCCAUGACAGUAUAGUUUUCAGACCUGAUCAGCUGGUGACUGCUCUAUGAAGUGCUGUUCAAC